GCAUAUCAAUAAGCGGAGGAAAAGAAACUAACAAGGAUUCCCCUAGUAACGGCGAGUGAAGCGGGAAGAGCUCAAAUUUGAAAUCUGGCAGUCUUCGAUUGUCCGAGUUGUAAUCUAUAGAGGCGUUUUCCGUGCCGGACCGUGUCCAAGUCUCCUGGAAAGGGGUAUCAAAGAGGGUGAUAAUCCCGUACUUAACACGACCACCGGUGCUCUGUGAUACGUCUUCUACGAGUCGAGUUGUUUGGGAAUGCAGCUCAAAAUGGGUGGUGAAUUCCAUCUAAAGCUAAAUAUUGGCGAGAGACCGAUAGCGAACAAGUACCGUGAGGGAAAGAUGAAAAGCACUUUGGAAAGAGAGUUAAACAGUACGUGAAAUUGUUGAAAGGGAAACGAUUGAAGUCAGUCGUGUUCUUUGGAUUCAGCCAGUUCUGCUGGUCUACUUCCUUGGAACGGGUCAACAUCAGUUUUGUCCGGUGGAUAAAGGUAGUAGGAAUGUGACUUCUCCGGAAGUGUUAUAGCCUAUUAUCACAUACACUGGGUGAGACUGAGGACUGCAGCUCGCCUUUAUGGCCGGCCUUCGGGCACGUUCGAGCUUAGGAUGUUGACAUAAUGGCUUUAAACGACCCGUCUUGAAACACGGACC
This 640-nucleotide ribosomal RNA is filed under the name Trichosporon asahii. RNAcentral describes it as "eukaryotic LSU rRNA". It matches the Rfam family "Eukaryotic large subunit ribosomal RNA", at positions 38 to 667 of the family's 3401-position model. Lineage: Eukaryota; Fungi; Basidiomycota; Tremellomycetes; Trichosporonales; Trichosporonaceae. The record is from RNAcentral.